AGUUGAUAUGGCUCAGGAUGAACGCUAGCUACAGGCUUAACACAUGCAAGUCGAGGGGCAGCGGAAGUAGCUGCUACUUGCCGGCGACGCGCACGGGUGAGUAACGCGUAUCCAACUUCCCCUUAGUAGGGCAUAGCCCGUAGAAAUGCGGAUUAAUACCCUAUGUUAUUCGUCGAGGACAUCUGAAGUGAAUCAAAGGUUUACCGCUAAGGGAUGGGGAUGCGUCUGAUUAGGCAGCAGGUGGGGUAACGGCCCACCUGGCCGACGAUCAGUAGGGGUUCUGAGAGGAAGGUCCCCCACAUUGGAACUGAGACACGGUCCAAACUCCUACGGGAGGCAGCAGUGAGGAAUAUUGGUCAAUGGGCGCGAGCCUGAACCAGCCAAGUAGCGUGCAGGACGACGGCCCUAUGGGUUGUAAACUGCUUUUAUGCGGGGAUAAAGUUCACUACGUGUAGUGUUUUGUAGGUACCGCAUGAAUAAGGACCGGCUAAUUCCGUGCCAGCAGCGGC
This 509-nucleotide ribosomal RNA is filed under the name uncultured bacterium. Its description in RNAcentral is "bacterial SSU rRNA". It matches the Rfam family "Bacterial small subunit ribosomal RNA", at positions 10 to 518 of the family's 1533-position model. The record is from RNAcentral.